This 440-nucleotide ribosomal RNA is filed under the name uncultured bacterium. RNAcentral's name for it is "partial 16S ribosomal RNA". It matches the Rfam family "Bacterial small subunit ribosomal RNA", at positions 338 to 795 of the family's 1533-position model. The record is from RNAcentral.
CCUACGGGCGGCAGCAGUGGGGGAUAUUGCGCAAUGAGGGGAACCCUGAUGCAGCGACGCCGCGUGGGUGAAGGAGCGUUUCGGCGCGUAAAGCCCUAUCGGCAGGGAAGAAGAUAACGGUACCUGACCAAUAAACCCCGGCUAAAUACGUGCCAGCAGCCGACGGUAUACGUAGGGGGCAAGCGUUCGGCGGAUUUACUGGGUGUAAAGGGGGCGCAGGCGGCAAUGCAAGCCAGGAGUGAAAGCCCGGUGGCCAAACCUGGGUCUGCUCUUGGAACUGCAUGGCUGGAGUACUGGAGGGGCAGGCGGAAUUCCUAGUGAAGCGGUGGAAUGCGUAGAUAUUAGGAGGAACACCGGCGGCGAAGGCAGUCUGCUGGACUGAGACUGACGUUGAGGACCGAAGGCGUGGGGAGCAAACAGGAUUAGAUACCCCAGUAGUC